RNAcentral lists this long non-coding RNA (485 nucleotides) under Geospiza fortis (medium ground-finch). Its description in RNAcentral is "lncRNA (ENSGFOG00000003220.1)". Lineage: Eukaryota; Metazoa; Chordata; Aves; Passeriformes; Thraupidae. The record is from RNAcentral.
CAGAGAGGUACUGCGUGCAUGCAACGGGAGAGGUGCUCAGCUUGUAGCGUAAAAGAAAGCCCACAGAUGAAAGGCACUGGUCUUUGUUGCAAAGCGUCAGUACUUAAGGACUGCUAGCCUGGGAGUGGAGAGAAUUCUCUGGAGCAUUACAUUCUCCUGUUUGGAGUGUGGACAAGAGUUUGGCAUUCUGCUUUUACAGAUCGCUGCCGCUCGCUCCUGGAGCGCAGGGGGGACGGCCAGACUCCCGCAUCUUUCAGCAAGAAGAAAGGAGCCAGCGGAGCGGACUAAUACGGACUUGUGUCGGGUGCCCUUGCCCUACAAAGGCUGCCUUUAAAAGAGAAACGCAGUGCUAUUUAAUGAGCUGUGAGAUGAGGCACUGCUGCUAACGCUCAGAUCCCAGGAUUCAUCGGCUAUUCAUUGUGCUUAAUGUACAUGUUUCUGCACCGUGCAUUUAGGAGAUCCCAGAGAAGAAUCCAAAACGGCUG